GAGACAACGGGACCAUGUCUCUGUCCGCCCUUCCAUACUUGUUCCCUCCAGCUACUCGCAGUCGCAAGCAAAGAUGCUUCACAUUCUCGCCAUCGCCUAGUAAGGUCUCAUCUCUCUCUCUCUCUCUCUCUUCAGUUUCUUUAUAUUGCCAGUACUUGUCUGUCUUUGAACAGAUAUACAAGUUCAUGUGCCUCUUCCAUGCCUUGUUGACUCUGGAGGAUUGAUUAAUCUUGCUGAUAGUGUAUGGCGAUCGAUGGGCAAUGAUCAUUUUUCCUUGGUUAGUAAUUAUUAUCAUCUUCUGGUCUUCCUAGUUAUGAAUUUUCAAAAUGAAGGUUUGGUUAAUGAGAUUUUCUGCUUCUUUCCCCUUUCACUUUUUAAGCACUCGUGUGCCUUGAAAAAACACAAAUGAACACUGCAAAGCCGGCUGAUAGUCUUGGGUUUAGAUUUCUAAACUGGAACUCUCCAGAUGUGAUUCUUUGACAAUUUGACAUAUUAGAUGUGUGCUAGUUACAUGUCUAAGAGAAGUUCGACUGGUUUGAGAAAUUAUAUUGUACGAAUCCUGAGUUAGGAAGUGCGAUUCUGUCUAGGGAAGGAUCCUCCUUGCUAAAAUGGCUUUCUUGAGUAAUUCUUGCACCCAGUUUUAAUUUAAAUUACCGUUUUGCAGUGUGGCAAUGUUCAGUCGAUACUUCGAUCAGAGAAAUUACCAUUUUUCCCUAUCUCUCUUUCUUUCUUUCCUUUGGUACGCACUUGAUCUGCCGUUUGAACAUGGGGAUGAUAAUAUAGCAUGACAAUGCCUUGACUUAGUUGUAAAAUGAUGGAAGCAACUCAUGUCCUCCUCCUGAUUUCGUCUUCAGCUUUCAAUAAGAAUCGCUUGAUGGUGUUUGUAUUUUCAUCCUAGCAAUUUGUUUCUGAGAAAAAAAAAAGUAUUGCUUGGUGACCGUCAUAUUUUUAAUUCAAUGUUUUCUUAGUUGUACUUGUAUCAUCAUCUUAUCAAUCCGAUUUCGAGAAAGAAAAAUGUCAUCUUGUAGGUAUGAUGUCUUCAUCCAGUGUGAAUACAAGUACUUGGAGUGGACUAACCUUCCAAAAUCAAAAGUGUAAGUGUGGUAAGCUUGCUGCCGUCAAAAUAUCGGAAUCAAAAAGGAACAAGCA
RNAcentral lists this long non-coding RNA (1149 nucleotides) under Eucalyptus grandis. Its description in RNAcentral is "long non-coding RNA (EGRA_LNC002808)". Lineage: Eukaryota; Viridiplantae; Streptophyta; Magnoliopsida; Myrtales; Myrtaceae. The record is from RNAcentral.